GACGAACGCUGGCGGCGUGCUUAACACAUGCAAGUCGAACGGAAAGGCCCUGCUUUUGUGGGGUGCUCGAGUGGCGAACGGGUGAGUAACACGUGAGUAACCUGCCCUUGACUUUGGGAUAACUUCAGGAAACUGGGGCUAAUACCGGAUAGGAGCUCCUGCUGCAUGGUGGGGGUUGGAAAGUUUCGGCGGUUGGGGAUGGACUCGCGGCUUAUCAGCUUGUUGGUGGGGUAGUGGCUUACCAAGGCUUUGACGGGUAGCCGGCCUGAGAGGGUGACCGGCCACAUUGGUACUGAGAUACGGCCCAGACUCCUACGGGAGGCAGCAGUGGGGAAUCUUGCACAGUGGGCGGAAGCCUGAUGCAGCAACGCCGCGUGCGGGAUGACGGCCUUCGGGUUGUAAACCGCUUUCGCCUGUGACGAAGCGUGAGUGACGGUAAUGGGUAAAGAAGCACCGGCUAACUACGUG
This 468-nucleotide ribosomal RNA is filed under the name uncultured bacterium. RNAcentral describes it as "partial 16S ribosomal RNA". It matches the Rfam family "Bacterial small subunit ribosomal RNA", at positions 28 to 507 of the family's 1533-position model. The record is from RNAcentral.